Molecule: non-coding RNA, 254 nt
Filed under: uncultured bacterium
Lineage: Bacteria
Also listed under: 1 other name
Description: partial 16S ribosomal RNA
Rfam family: Bacterial small subunit ribosomal RNA
Source: RNAcentral
UACGUAGGGGGCGAGCGUUGUCCGGAUUUAUUGGGCGUAAAGAGCUCGUAGGCGGUUACGGAAGUCGGGUGUGAAAGACCGGGGCUUAACCCCGGGGUGUCAUUCGAUACUCCGUUGACUUGAGUCCGGUAGGGGAAGGUGGAAUUCCUGGUGUAGCGGUGAAAUGCACAGAUAUCAGGAGGAACACCGGUGGCGAAGGCGGCCUUCUGGGCCGGUACUGACGCUGAGGAGCGAAAGCUAGGGGAGCGAACAGG